AAUACGUUCCCGGGCCUUGUACACACCGCCCGUCAAGCGAUGGAAGCUGGGGGUACCUGAAACUCUUGCCUAGCAAGAUCUAAGGUAAAACCGGUGACUGGCGCU
This 105-nucleotide ribosomal RNA is filed under the name uncultured bacterium. RNAcentral describes it as "partial 16S ribosomal RNA". It matches the Rfam family "Bacterial small subunit ribosomal RNA", at positions 1365 to 1482 of the family's 1533-position model. The record is from RNAcentral.